CCUACGGGGGGCUGCAAUGGGGAAUAUUGGACAAUGGGGGGAACCCUGAUCCAGCCAUGCCGCGUGUGUGAAGAAGGCCCUCGGGUUGUAAAGCACUUUCAGUGAGGAAGAACGCCUGGUGGUUAAUACCCAUCAGGAAAGACAUCACUCACAGAAGAAGCACCGGCUAACUCCGUGCCAGCAGCCGCGGUAAUACGGAGGGUGCGAGCGUUAAUCGGAAUUACUGGGCGUAAAGCGCGCGUAGGUGGCUUGAUAAGCCGGUUGUGAAAGCCCCGGGCUCAACCUGGGAACGGCAUCCGGAACUGUCAAGCUAGAGUGCAGGAGAGGAAGGUAGAAUUCCCGGUGUAGCGGUGAAAUGCGUAGAGAUCGGGAGGAAUACCAGUGGCGAAGGCGGCCUUCUGGACUGACACUGACACUGAGGUGCGAAAGCGUGGGUAGCAAACAGGAUUAGAUACCCCUGUAGUC
This 465-nucleotide ribosomal RNA is filed under the name Vreelandella stevensii. Its description in RNAcentral is "partial 16S ribosomal RNA". It matches the Rfam family "Bacterial small subunit ribosomal RNA", at positions 338 to 795 of the family's 1533-position model. Lineage: Bacteria; Pseudomonadati; Pseudomonadota; Gammaproteobacteria; Oceanospirillales; Halomonadaceae. The record is from RNAcentral.